Molecule: ribosomal RNA, 301 nt
Filed under: uncultured bacterium
Lineage: Bacteria
Description: partial 16S ribosomal RNA
Rfam family: Bacterial small subunit ribosomal RNA
Source: RNAcentral
CAGUAGCCACGGUAAAACGUAGGUGGCAAGCGUUGUCCGGAAUUAUUGGGCGUAAAGGGCUCGCAGGCGGUUUCUUAAGUCUGAUGUGAAAGCCCCCGGCCCAACCGUGGAGGGUCAUUGGAAACUGGAAAACUUGAGUGCAGAAGAGGAAAGUGGAAUUCCAUGUGUAGCGGUGAAAUGCGCAGAGAUAUGGAGGAACACCAGUGGCGAAGGCGACUUUCUGGUCUGUAACUGACGCUGAUGUGCAAAAGCGUGGGGAUCAAACAGGAUUAGAUACCCCAGUAGUCCCUGUCUCUUAUAC